Long non-coding RNA from Falco peregrinus (peregrine falcon), 934 nucleotides. RefSeq lists it as uncharacterized. Lineage: Eukaryota; Metazoa; Chordata; Aves; Falconiformes; Falconidae. The record is from RefSeq and is a predicted model, not a curated record. The transcript is spliced from 5 exons.
CAUUUGCCUAGCGCAGUGCUCCAGGAAGUGAGGUUACAGUCCUGCAAUACGUGAAAGGAAGGGCUGAGGACAACGAGCAUCCAGUGCCUGGCUCUGACAGGUGAAAGGGGCAGUGGCAUGCAGUCGCAGACUCUCCCUAGCGCUGGAUGGAACGCUCACUGAAAAGCUGUGGAGUAACAGCAUGAGACUGUAGGUAGAAUGGCUACUUCACUCCUCAAAUGGAACUGCCUUGGGGCACUCAGGCUUCUUUGACAUAGCAGGAAGAAAACCCGGCUUUAAAAGAGGAGUUCAGACUGGAAGCAGCAAUGUUCCGGGAGGAUUUCUGAGUCAAACAGGAGAGCAACUGCCUUCUCAAAGUGCAUAUUUCAGAGAUCCCUAAAACAUUCCGCUACACAGUUGGAGCAGUCAGGACUGAGAGACCAAUGCCCCAGAGGACCUGGACUUCCCCAGCACUCGCAUGCUGAGCUGCACAAGCCUCUUCAGAGUGGAAAGAGAAAUCCCCAUGCUCUGGCUCACAGGACAUCUCUGGGAUCAGAUGGACUGAGCUGAGCUAACAGAAGACCCGAUUUGGCCCACGAACUCAAGGACAACAACGUGCCACAAGGACGAUGGCGGUGGGGUAUUCGUAACACAGCAGGAGACCUGGUUCACUGAACAUUUUUCCAGCCUUCGUCCGUCACUGUACUCCUCUCCUGUGAACGGCGGCUGCAGCUGUUGAAGGGGAAUGAAGCCGGCGGGGGUUUGGGGGGCCACGUUCACGGGUAAGUGAAGCCCCGCGGGUGCGGCGAGCUGGGGCGCGAGGGCCGCGCCGCCACCAGGUGGCAGCUGGAGCCCAGCUGUGAGCGCGGCCAGGCGGGAAGGUUACACACAAACAACCCCAAACACCAACAACAACAACAAGCCAGCCACAAUUACCGAAUAACCAACACAGUGC